CCUACGGGAGGCUGCAGUGGGGAAUAUUGGACAAUGGGGGCAACCCUGAUCCAGCCAUGCCGCGUGUGUGAAGAAGGCCCUCGGGUUGUAAAGCACUUUCAGUGAGGAAGAACGCCUGGUGGUUAAUACCCAUCAGGAAAGACAUCACCCACAGAAGAAGCACCGGCUAACUCCGUGCCAGCAGCCGCGGUAAUACGGAGGGUGCGAGCGUUAAUCGGAAUUACUGGGCGUAAAGCGCGCGUAGGUGGCUUGAUAAGCCGGUUGUGAAAGCCCCGGGCUCAACCUGGGAACGGCAUCCGGAACUGUCAAGCUAGAGUGCAGGAGAGGGAGGUAGAAUUCCCGGUGUAGCGGUGAAAUGCGUAGAGAUCGGGAGGAAUACCAGUGGCGAAGGCGGCCUUCUGGACUGACACUGACACUGAGGUGCGAAAGCGUGGGUAGCAAACAGGAUUAGAUACCCUGGUAGUC
Molecule: ribosomal RNA, 465 nt
Filed under: Vreelandella stevensii
Lineage: Bacteria; Pseudomonadati; Pseudomonadota; Gammaproteobacteria; Oceanospirillales; Halomonadaceae
Description: partial 16S ribosomal RNA
Rfam family: Bacterial small subunit ribosomal RNA
Source: RNAcentral